RNAcentral lists this long non-coding RNA (583 nucleotides) under Ananas comosus (pineapple). RNAcentral's name for it is "long non-coding RNA (ACOM_LNC038274)". The record is from RNAcentral. Lineage: Eukaryota; Viridiplantae; Streptophyta; Magnoliopsida; Poales; Bromeliaceae.
GGGGUAUAAUAGACCAAUAUAAUUAGCUUUUACUCUUUGUUCGAUUGAAUGAGAAAAAGUACUCGCUGCAAAUUUAUACUGUUAGGGCGUAACUAAAUAGUCUAAUGUUGUUCCAGUUUUCUAUCUUCUAAACAUAAACAUCGCUUCGUUCGAAAUUUACAUUCUCAGUGUAUAAUUGAACAAUAUAAUUAGCUUUUACUCUUUAUUCGAUUGAUUAAGAAAAAGUACUCGUUGCAACGUUGUACUGUUAGGGCGCAACUGAGUGGUCUAAUGUUGUUCCGGUUUUGGUUCUUGUGAAGGUUGACAUCAAUUUGUUCCAAAUUUACACUCUCGGAGCAUAAUAGAAUAAUAUAAUUAGGUUUUACUGUUUGUUCGAUUGAAUGAGAAAAAGUACUCGUUGCAAAGUUAUGCUGUUAGGGCGCAAUUGAGUAGUCAAAUGUUGUUCCGGUUUUGGUUCUUUUCAACGUUGUCAUCGAUUCGUUCUAAAUUAACAAUCUCGGGGCAUAAUAGAACAAUAUAAUUAGCUUUUACUCUUUGUAAGAUAGAACGAGAAAAGGUACUCGUUGCAAAGUUAUACUCUUAG